AAAGAGCUCGUAGGUGGUUUGUUACGUCGGUUGUGAAAUUCAGGGGCUCAACCCCUGACUUGCAGCCGAUACGGGCAAGCUAGAGUUUGGUAGGGGAGACUGGAAUUCCUGGUGUAGCGGUGGAAUGCGCAGAUAUCAGGAGGAACACCGAUGGCGAAGGCAGGUCUCUGGGCCAAUACUGACACUGAGGAGCGAAAGCGUGGGGAGCGAACAGGAUUAGAUACCCUGGUAGUCCACGCCGUAAACGGUGGGCGCUAGUUGUGCGAACCUUCCACGGUUUGUGCGACGCAGCUAACGCAUUAAGCGCCCCGCCUGGGGAGUACGAUCGCAAGAUUAAAACUCAAAGGAAUUGACGGGGCCCCGCACAAGCAGCGGAGCAUGCGGCUUAAUUCGACGCAACGCGAAGAACCUUACCAAGGCUUGACAUAUACAGGAAUAUGGCAGAGAUGUCAUAGCCGCAAGGUCUGUAUACAGGUGGUGCAUGGUUGUCGUCAGCUCGUGUCGUGAGAUGUUGGGUUAAGUCCCGCAACGAGCGCAACCCUCGUUCUGUGUUGCCAGCAUUUAGUUGGGGACUCACAGGAGACUGCCGGGGUUAACUCGGAGGAAGGUGGGGAUGACGUCAAAUCAUCAUGCCCCUUAUGUCUUGGGCUGCACGCAUGCUACAAUGGCUGGUACAAACGGCUGCGAUACCGCA
This 694-nucleotide ribosomal RNA is filed under the name uncultured bacterium. RNAcentral describes it as "bacterial SSU rRNA". It matches the Rfam family "Bacterial small subunit ribosomal RNA", at positions 562 to 1259 of the family's 1533-position model. The record is from RNAcentral.